Molecule: ribosomal RNA, 292 nt
Filed under: uncultured bacterium
Lineage: Bacteria
Description: partial 16S ribosomal RNA
Rfam family: Bacterial small subunit ribosomal RNA
Source: RNAcentral
GUGUCAGCCGCCGCGGUAAUACGUAUGGUGCGAACGUUGUUCGGAAUCACUGGGCCUAAAGAGCGCGUAGGCGGCCAAGCAAGUCAGAUGUGAAAUACCUCGGCCUAACCGAGGAACUGCAUUUGAAACUGCAUGGCUUGAGUACAGGAGGGGAGAGUGGAAUUCCUGGUGGAGCGGUGAAAUGCGUAGAUAUCAGGAGGAACGCCGGUGGCGAAAGCGGCUCUCUGGUCUGUUACUGACGCUGAGGCGCGAAAGCUAGGGGAGCAAACGGGAUUAGAAACCCCAGUAGUCC